UAGGGAAUCUUCCGCAAUGGACGAAAGUCUGACGGAGCAACGCCGCGUGAGUGAUGAAGGUUUUCGGAUCGUAAAGCUCUGUUGCCAGGGAAGAACGCUUGGGAGAGUAACUGCUCUCAAGGUGACGGUACCUGAGAAGAAAGCCCCGGCUAACUACGUGCCAGCAGCCGCGGUAAUACGUAGGGGGCAAGCGUUGUCCGGAAUUAUUGGGCGUAAAGCGCGCGCAGGCGGUCAUUUAAGUCUGGUGUUUAAUCCUGGGGCUCAACCCUAGGUCGCACUGGAAACUGGGUGACUUGAGUGCAGAAGAGGAAAGUGGAAUUCCACGUGUAGCGGUGAAAUGCGUAGAGAUGUGGAGGAACACCAGUGGCGAAGGCGACUUUCUGGGCUGUAACUGACGCUGAGGCGCGAAAGCGUGGGGAGCAAACAGGAUUAGAUACCCCCGUAGUCC
This 448-nucleotide ribosomal RNA is filed under the name uncultured bacterium. RNAcentral's name for it is "bacterial SSU rRNA". It matches the Rfam family "Bacterial small subunit ribosomal RNA", at positions 355 to 796 of the family's 1533-position model. The record is from RNAcentral.